This is an unclassified non-coding RNA of Pongo abelii (Sumatran orangutan), 148 nucleotides long. It matches the Rfam family "Metazoan signal recognition particle RNA". From Rfam's summary of the family: The signal recognition particle (SRP) is a universally conserved ribonucleoprotein. NCBI's taxonomy places the organism in Eukaryota, Metazoa, Chordata, Mammalia, Primates, Hominidae. The record is from Ensembl.
GCUGGGCAUGGUGGUGCACACCUGUAGUUCCAGCUACUUGGGAGGCUGAGAUGAGAGGAUUGCUUGAGCCCAGGAGUUCAAGGCUGCAGUGAGCUGUGUUGGCACCACUGCACUCCAGCCUGGGCAACAGAGCAAGACCCUGUCUCAA